This 300-nucleotide ribosomal RNA is filed under the name uncultured bacterium. Its description in RNAcentral is "bacterial SSU rRNA". It matches the Rfam family "Bacterial small subunit ribosomal RNA", at positions 29 to 334 of the family's 1533-position model. The record is from RNAcentral.
AAUGAACGUUGGCGACGUGCUUAACACAUGCAAGUCGAGCGAGAAAGCUUCUUCGGAAGUGAGUAGAGCGGCGGACGGGUGAGUAACGCGUGAGAAUCUGCCCUUUAGUGAAGAAUACCUUCGGGAAACUGAAGUUAAUACUGCAUACGUCCCUUCGGGGAGAAAGGUGGCUUUAUGCUGCCGCUAGAGGAGGAGCUCGCGUCUUAUUAGUUUGUUGGUGGGGUAAUGGCCUACCAAGACGAUGAUGAGUAGCCGGCCUGAGAGGGUGAACGGCCACACUGGAACUUAGACACGGUCCAG